RNAcentral lists this long non-coding RNA (528 nucleotides) under Capsicum annuum. RNAcentral's name for it is "long non-coding RNA (CANN_LNC011140)". Lineage: Eukaryota; Viridiplantae; Streptophyta; Magnoliopsida; Solanales; Solanaceae. The record is from RNAcentral.
GUUCACAAAAUUAUGUCCAAACUUCUGAAAUCACAACCUAUCUUAUGAACUCUAGGCUGGCGGGGAAUAUAUGCUAACUCUAGCUAAUCAUCUAUCCCAUACCAGGGGCAUUCUCAGAACCAUUGUCUCAUCAAGACAUAACCAACCCAAAUCCUAGAAUACUUUGAGAUACUGCCUCUUAUAAUCAAGAAUGGUCAUCGUGGAUUGAAGAAUCAUACCAUGCCCCGCAAGUCUGAUGGGGACUCUACUCGCUAUGAUCAUCACAACUAAUCUGACAACUACUCAUAGUUUGGAAUACUAUUUUGCAUAGAGUUGAUAGGUGUAGGUGAAGCUGAACUCUAUCAGGAGGAUCCUCGCUCUCAAAUAAAAUACCAAUAACACUACAUUAAUGUCAUGCCUCUUGCCGCCAUUUCCAUAAGUCUUAAUAUUUGUGCUCUCUAUGGUCCUCUCAUAAUCAACACCCUAAGGGAAGGAAGAUUUGGAAGCUCAAGUGCUUCGAUACCAAAUAGAGUUAAAAUACUAACCCUC